Molecule: small nucleolar RNA, 85 nt
Filed under: Arabidopsis suecica
Lineage: Eukaryota; Viridiplantae; Streptophyta; Magnoliopsida; Brassicales; Brassicaceae
Description: snoR114
Rfam family: small nucleolar RNA snoR114
Source: RNAcentral
GAGCUGUGAUGAAAUUGGCUUCAGCGUUGGUUUGGUCCUUCGCAUUCUUCUGAUUUCUCAGAUGUAACGCCACACUCCUGAGCUC